RNAcentral lists this ribosomal RNA (479 nucleotides) under uncultured bacterium. RNAcentral's name for it is "partial 16S ribosomal RNA". It matches the Rfam family "Bacterial small subunit ribosomal RNA", at positions 28 to 507 of the family's 1533-position model. The record is from RNAcentral.
GAUGAACGCUGGCGGCGUGCUUAACACAUGCAAGUCGAGCGAGAAGUUUUGAAAAGAUUCUUCGGAUGAAAUUUAAAAUGGAAAGCGGCGGACGGGUGAGUAACGCGUAGGCAACCUGCCCCAUACAAAGGGAUAGCAUUUGGAAACGAAUAUUAAUACCUUAUGAAACUUAACUAGUGCAUGCUAGGUAGGUCAAAGAUUUAUCGGUAUGGGAUGGGCCUGCGUCUGAUUAGCUAGUUGGUGAGGUAACGGCUCACCAAGGCGACGAUCAGUAGCCGACCUGAGAGAGUGAACGGCCACAUUGGAACGGAGACACGGUCCAAACUCCUACGGGAGGCAGCAGUGGGGAAUAUUGCACAAUGGGGGAAACCCUGAUGCAGCAACGCCGCGUGAACGAUGAAGGCCUUUGGGUCGUAAAGUUCUGUUCUAGGUGAUGAAAACUGACAGUAACCUAGGAGAAAGCCCCGGCUAACUCCGUG